Molecule: long non-coding RNA, 884 nt
Organism: Cyprinus carpio carpio
Lineage: Eukaryota; Metazoa; Chordata; Actinopteri; Cypriniformes; Cyprinidae
Source: Ensembl
GUGCUGGUGGCGUCUGCAUUACACCUGAUCACCUCCGUGCUUUCUGGAUUUAGAUCUGGGACUGGCUCCAAAGCUUUUUGUUUGUUCCUGCAAAUAUGUAAGGCAGGACAUCUCGUUCCAGAUGGAUUUUCUCUAUUAUAACAAGCCCUGACUCAAUUCAGUCACAUACAUCAGACAAAAGAUUGAUCUGCUACAUGAUUGAGAGCCAGUCUAAGAUUAUAGAUGUAGAUCAGAUGGUCAAGAUUCGACUGGUUGGGUUGUGUUUGUCCCUGCUGGAAGAUCCUGGAACUACACAAAUAGAUGUCAGAGGAUCCUUCCUGCACAAUCAACACUUUCCUGAAGAGGAGAAGCGAUACAUCAAUUUUCCAGUGCCUGCGACAGCUGUGAUUUUCCCUUCAGAGAAAUAGCAGCGGAUGAUCCAAACAACUCCUACGGCAGACCCCAAAACUGGAAUAUCACAACAGAACAGCUCCAGUCAAAUAAUCUCUAUCGCUACAGCACUGGCAGGGCCUUAUUCUGUGCCACGGACAGCCGCUGGUAUCCAGCCAUUUUCUCCAACCAAUCUAGGAUGACAAAUAGAAAGGGCAACAGUCCCUAAUUAUAAGCAGAGAUCCAUUUUUAAAAGGACAUGAAACAGAACUGCUGGAGAGCCUGGGGUGUGAGAUCACAAAGAUAUGAAAAUCAAGAUUUUUGUUGAACAAAAUUAAGAAGUCUUGGCCUAAGGCUUCCCUCAAUGUCAAGUCAAAUUGUUGAGUUCUCACCCAUUCAAAGACCUUGAGAACCUACCCUAGUAAGAAACUGAUUUGGACCGCUUAUCACCAUUAAUGAUAAAUAAUUCACAAAAGCACGACGAAGAACCGGACUUUUGGCAGAGCACACAGAUG